GAGAUUACUGGUGUGUGUGUGAGAGAUUACUGGUGUGAGGGUGAGAGAUUACUGGUGUGAGGGUGAGAGAUUACUGGUGUGAGGGUGAGAGAUUACUGGUGUGAGGGUGAGUGUGAGAUUACUGGUGUGAGGGGUGAGAGAUUACUGGUGUGAGUGUGAGAGAUUACUGGUGUGAGGGUGAGAGAUUACUGGUGUGAGGGUGAGAGAUUACUGGUGUGAGUGUGAGAGAUUACUGGUGUGAGGGUGAGUGUGAGAGAUUACUGGUGUGAGGUGGAGUGUGAGAGAUUACUGGUGUGUGUGUGAGAGAUUACUGGUGUGAGGGUGAGAGAUUACUGGUGUGAGUGUGAGAGAUUACUGGUGUGAGGGUGCGUGUGAGAUUACUGGUGUGUGUGUGAGAGAUUACAGGUGUGUGUGUGAGAGAUUACUGGUGUGAUUGUGAGAGAUUACUGGUGUGAGUGUGAGAGAUUACUGGUGUGAGUGUGAGAGAUUACUGGUGUGAGGGUGAGUGUGAGAGAUUACUGG
Ictalurus punctatus (channel catfish) is the source of this 522-nucleotide long non-coding RNA. Lineage: Eukaryota; Metazoa; Chordata; Actinopteri; Siluriformes; Ictaluridae. The record is from Ensembl.